RNAcentral lists this ribosomal RNA (499 nucleotides) under uncultured bacterium. Its description in RNAcentral is "bacterial SSU rRNA". It matches the Rfam family "Bacterial small subunit ribosomal RNA", at positions 1000 to 1504 of the family's 1533-position model. The record is from RNAcentral.
GUAGAGAUACAUGAAGUCCUUCGGGACAUACAGACAGGUGGUGCAUGGUUGUUCGUCAGCUCGUGUCGUGAGAUGUUGGGUUAAGUCCCGCAACGAGCGCAACCCUUGUAUUUAGUUGCUACGCAAGAGCACUCUAGAUAGACUGCCGUGGACAACACGGAGGAAGGUGGGGAUGACGUCAAAUCAUCAUGCCCCUUAUGACCUGGGCUACACACGUACUACAAUGGCAAUGGAACAGAGGGAAGCGACUCAGCGAUGAGAAGCAGAUCCCGAAAAAUUGUCUCAGUUCGGAUUGCAGGCUGCAACCCGCCUGCAUGAAGUCGGAAUUGCUAGUAAUCGCGGAUCAGCAUGCCGCGGUGAAUACGUUCCCGGGCCUUGUACACACCGCCCGUCACACCAUGGGAGUCGGUAACACCCGAAGCCCGUAGCCUAACAGUAAUGAGGGCGCGGUCGAAGGUGGGAUUGAUGACUGGGGUGAAGUCGUAACAAGGUAACCAUA